AUGAUAAUACCAGCUGCUUUAAGAGUCAUCUCUGACCAUUCCUUCUUCAUCAUUCAUUACAAAUCAAUGACUAAUUUUGUCAUCAUACUUUCUAGAUAUUCUGAAAACCAUCUUUUCUCCAUUUUUACCACCAUCAUUUCUUAUCUAAGCUACUGCAACAGUCUUCUUUUAAAAAGGGCAAAUCUGUUUAUAUCAUUGUCAAUGCCUAUAUUAAAGCUGUCCAUUGAACUGGGGAUAAAGUCCAAAAUCCUUAAUACGGUCUACAAGGUCUUAUAUGUUCUGACCCCUAUCUGUGUUUCUACCUUCAUUCUAUGUUCUUUUCUCCCACUUUUCUCUCCUCGGCUGACAUGCUAGUUUCCCAUCAGUGCUUCAAUGCAUCAUACUCUCUCCUCUUUCACACCUAUUUCUCCUCCACUCCCCUAGCAAUCUCUACCCCUCACCUAACUACUCGUAUUUGUCUUUUCAGGUUUCAGCUGAAUUGAAAGCAAAAUUGACUAGUUCUUCUUCUAUACAUUCACAUUAUGCCCCAUUCUCAUCCUUUGUAACACUCCUCACUUUUAUAUUGUCUACCUUAACUAAUUGUCUAUAAGUUCCAGGGGCUAUACCUGCCAUGCUUAUCAAUGUAUUAUUAGUGCAUAGUAUAGUAUCUGACAAAUUUAGGCAAUAAAAUAUAUAUUAAUUCAUUCAUACAGUGAUAGGUCCGCUUCACCUUUAUUUCUGCCAAGUCGUCCUUGACUCAUUCAAGCAGAAUUGGUAACUUUCAUAUUAAUAUAACCACUAUACAGGGGAUCCCUGGGUGGCUCAGCGGUUUAGCGCCUGCCUUUGGCUCAGGGCAUGAUCCUGGAGACCUGGGAUCGAGUCCCACAUCGGGCUCCCUGCAUGGAGCCUGCUUCUCCCUUUGCCUGUGUCUCUGCCUCUCUCUCUCUCUCUCUCAUGAAUAAAUAAAAUAUUAAAUAUAUAUAUAUAUAUAUAUAUAUAUAUAUAUAUAUAACCACUAUACCAAAGAUACUAUCUGUAUCUUAUUUCUCUUUGUGCCCCUAGCACUUCACUUGGUGUCUGGAACAAAAUGAAUGCUCAAUCUAUGCUUAUAGAAUUGAACUAACAGAGACUUUGCCAACUGGCUGGAUAUGAGAUCUGAAGGAAUAUAGAAAGUCAAAGAUAAACUCUGAAGGGUGGGCUAGCCUUUAACACAAAUGGAAAAGUUGGUAAAGGAAGGUGGUUUAGAAAGUAAAUAUAUGCAGUUCUGAGCAUAGGUAUUGAUAGUGUAGUGACAGAGGGGAGAGUUUAUACAAAAAGUCAUUAAAGCCCUUUCACAAAGAUGGCGCCAAAGGCGAAGAAGGAAGCCCCUGCCCCUCCCAAAGCUGAAGCCAAAGCAAAGACUUUGAAAGCUAAGAAAGUGGUGCUGAAAGGCAUGCACAGUCACACACACACAAAAAAGAAGAAGAUCCAUACGUCACCUACAUUCCAACGACCCAAGACCCUGUGUCUCCAAAGGCAGCGCAAAUAUCCUCGAAAGAGCACCCCCAGGAGAAACAAGCUUGAUCACUAUGCCAUCAUCAAGUUCCCCCUGACUACUGAGUCAGCCAUGAAGAAAAUAGAAGACAACAACACACUUGCGUUCAUUGUGGAUGUCAAGGCCAAAUAAGCACCAGAUCAAACAGGCUGUGAAGAAGCUCUAUGACAUUGAUGUGGCCAAGGUCAACACCUUGAUCAGGCCUGAUGGAGGGAAGAAAGCAUAUGUUUGACUGGCUCCUGACUAUGAUGCUUUGGAUGCUGCCAACAAAACUGGGGUCAUCUAAACUGAGUCCAGCUGGCUAUCAAUAUAAAUAUAAAUUUUUCACCACAAAAAAAAAAAAGUCAGUAAAGCCAUGGAGUCCUGAAAUGGCAACAUGAAGAUAAUUCCCGAGGUUGGAAGCAGUCUGCUGGAGCCAGAGAAGGCUAACGGAUGGGAUACAUUCUAAUUUGCCUAGGACAAUCCCAGUUUACACCUAUUAUCCUAACAUAAUAAUUGAUGGUGCUGCCGCCUUGUAUGCUUAAAAGUGUCCAAAUAAAUUAGGCGUACCCAGUUGGCUCAGUUGGUAAAGCAUGCAACUCUUGACCUCAGGGUCUUGAAUCAAGCCCCAUGUUGGCCAUACAGCUUACUUAAAAAAAAAAAAAAAAAAAAAAAAGUGCCCAAUAAACUAUAUGACCAGCCAACCAGAAGACCAUGUGAAUUUGGAAAAGUUAAGUGAGUUAAGGGCAAGAACAUUUAGGACAAGAGCAGAGCAAGAAAUUACAGUGAUUUCGAGUUGUAGAUAGUGAAGGAAUGUACUGAAUUGAAUGACAUUUUAUAAAGAGCUAUGAAAUGAACUAGCUACCAUUUCUGGAUGGACAAUGUCACAAAAACCCUGAUAGGUAGGCAUUUCCAUCCAUAUUUUAUAGAUAAAAUAAUCAAAGCUUAGAUUAAACACCCACUCAGAAAAUUAGCUAAAAUAUAGCUUAAUAAGUAAAAUACAGUGACUUUUCCUCACUCAUAGCCAUCUUAGCAGCUGCUCUUGGUUGGGGCCUGCUCAAAACCUAAGGCAGAGGGAUCCCUGGGUGGCGCAGCGGUUUGGCGCCUGCCUUUGGCCCAGGGCGCGAUCCUGGAGACCCGGGAUCGAAUCCCACAUCGGGCUCCCGGUGCAUGGAGCCUGCUUCUCCCUCUGCCUAUGUCUCUGCCUCUCUCUCUCUCUCUCUCUCUGUGACUAUCAUAAAUAAAUAAAAAUUAAAAAAAAAUUCUUAAAAAAAAAAUUCUUAAAAAAAAAAAAAACCUAAGGCAGGAAAUACAGUGGAUGCAUAGAAGGUGAAAAGGCCACUGGAAUCUUUCUACUCUGGGCUCCAACUCAUCAUGAAAAGUGGAAAGUAUGUGUUGGGGUACAAGCAGAAUCUGAAAAUAAUCAGAGAUGGCAAAAGCAACACUGAUCAUCCUUGCCAACAACUGCCCAGCUUUGAGGAAAUCUGAAAUAGAGUAUUAAGCCAUGUUGGCCAAACCUGGUGUCCAUCAUCAGUACAGUGGCAAGACUAUUGAAUUGGGUUUAGAAUGUGGGAAAUACUGUGGAGUAUGCACACUGGUUAUCAUUAAUCCAGGUGAUUCUGAUAUCAUUAGAAGCAUGUCAGAACAGACUGGUGAAAAGCAAAACAUGAAAAAUCUCUCUCUAAUAAAAUUGGCCAGAGCUUGUUUGUUUGUUUGUUUGUUUGUUUUUAAAGAUUUUAUUUAUUUAUUCAUGAGAAUACACAGAGAGGAGAGAGAGAGAGAGGCAGAGACACAGGCAGAGAGAGAAGCAGGCUCCCUGCAGGGAGCCUGACAUGGGACUGGAUCCCUGGUCUCCAGGAUCACACCAGGGACUGAAGGCGGCGCUAAGCCGCUGAGCCACCCCGGCUGCCCCAGAGCUUUUUUGGAAAAAAAAAAAAAAAAAGUAAAACCUAGCUAGAGAGCAAAACUAACUAAAUAUAAAUGAAUAAUUGAAAAAAGAAGUCAAAGGGGGAAAUAUCUGGAAGUCACAAGAAGUCCCUUCUCCAAUAACUUGUAAGCAUCUUGAGUGGGAAAGGAAAAAUAAAGCAUUGAUAUGGUAACUUCCCCAUAAAGGAGGGUAACCACUGCUACCAAGAUCCUUCACUAUAACUUGCAAAAUUACUGCUCACUAUUUUCUGAAGUAGCUUCAUUGAAAACCAUCCUUCUUUCCCCAAGAGACAAGUAAUUCCAGGAAGUAACUUUUUAAAUAAAGACUUUAUUUAU
This 3754-nucleotide long non-coding RNA is filed under the name Canis lupus familiaris (dog). RNAcentral describes it as "lncRNA (ENSCAFG00030014145.1)". The record is from RNAcentral. Lineage: Eukaryota; Metazoa; Chordata; Mammalia; Carnivora; Canidae.